UCAGGCCUAACACAUGCAAGUCGAGCGGGGUUUUCGGACCUAGCGGCGGACGGGUGAGUAAUGCGUAGGAAGCUACCCGAUAGAGGGGGAUACCAGUUGGAAACGACUGUUAAUACCGCAUAAUGUCUACGGACCAAAGUGUGGGACCUCCGGGCCACAUGCUAUCGGAUGCGCCUACGUGGGAUUAGCUAGUUGGUGAGGUAAUGGCUCACCAAGGCGACGAUCCCUAGCUGGUUUGAGAGGAUGAUCAGCCACACUGGAAGUGAGACACGGUCCAGACUCCUACGGGAGGCAGCAGUGGGGAAUAUUGGACAAUGGGCGCAAGCCUGAUCUAGAGAGGCCGCGUGUGUGAAGAAGGCCUUCGGGU
This 367-nucleotide ribosomal RNA is filed under the name uncultured bacterium. RNAcentral describes it as "bacterial SSU rRNA". It matches the Rfam family "Bacterial small subunit ribosomal RNA", at positions 43 to 423 of the family's 1533-position model. The record is from RNAcentral.